RNAcentral lists this ribosomal RNA (86 nucleotides) under Burkholderiaceae bacterium. Its description in RNAcentral is "partial 16S ribosomal RNA". It matches the Rfam family "Bacterial small subunit ribosomal RNA", at positions 1448 to 1533 of the family's 1533-position model. Lineage: Bacteria; Pseudomonadati; Pseudomonadota; Betaproteobacteria; Burkholderiales; Burkholderiaceae. The record is from RNAcentral.
GGGCGAUUACCACGGCAGGGUUCGUGACUGGGGUGAAGUCGUAACAAGGUAGCCGUAUCGGAAGGUGCGGCUGGAUCACCUCCUUU